This 508-nucleotide ribosomal RNA is filed under the name uncultured bacterium. RNAcentral's name for it is "partial 16S ribosomal RNA". It matches the Rfam family "Bacterial small subunit ribosomal RNA", at positions 28 to 523 of the family's 1533-position model. The record is from RNAcentral.
GAUGAACGCUAGCUACAGGCUUAACACAUGCAAGUCGAGGGGAAACGAUAGAGAAAGCUUGCUUUUUCUAGGCGUCGACCGGCGCACGGGUGAGUAACGCGUAUCCAACCUGCCCACCACUUGGGGAUAACCUUGCGAAAGUAAGACUAAUACCCAAUGACGUCCAUAGAAGACAUCUGAAAUGGAUUAAAGAUUUAUCGGUGAUGGAUGGGGAUGCGUCUGAUUAGCUUGUUGGCGGGGUAACGGCCCACCAAGGCGACGAUCAGUAGGGGUUCUGAGAGGAAGGUCCCCCACAUUGGAACUGAGACGCGGUCCAAACUCCUACGGGAGGCAGCAGUGAGGAAUAUUGGUCAAUGGGCGAGAGCCUGAACCAGCCAAGUAGCGUGCAGGAUGACGGCCCUAUGGGUUGUAAACUGCCUUUAUAAGGGAAUAAAGUGAGUCUCGUGAGACUUUUUGCAUGUACCUUAUGAAUAAGGACCGGCUAAUUCCGUGCCAGCCGCCGCAGUAA